RNAcentral lists this ribosomal RNA (912 nucleotides) under Curvularia spicifera. RNAcentral describes it as "LSU rRNA". It matches the Rfam family "Eukaryotic large subunit ribosomal RNA", at positions 38 to 968 of the family's 3401-position model. Lineage: Eukaryota; Fungi; Ascomycota; Dothideomycetes; Pleosporales; Pleosporaceae. The record is from RNAcentral.
GCAUAUCAAUAAGCGGAGGAAAAGAAACCAACAGGGAUUGCCCUAGUAACGGCGAGUGAAGCGGCAACAGCUCAAAUUUGAAAUCUGGCUCUUUCAGAGUCCGAGUUGUAAUUUGCAGAGGGCGCUUUGGCUUUGGCAGCGGUCCAAGUUCCUUGGAACAGGACGUCACAGAGGGUGAGAAUCCCGUACGUGGUCGCUAGCUAUUGCCGUGUAAAGCCCCUUCGACGAGUCGAGUUGUUUGGGAAUGCAGCUCUAAAUGGGAGGUAAAUUUCUUCUAAAGCUAAAUAUUGGCCAGAGACCGAUAGCGCACAAGUAGAGUGAUCGAAAGAUGAAAAGCACUUUGGAAAGAGAGUCAAACAGCACGUGAAAUUGUUGAAAGGGAAGCGCUUGCAGCCAGACUUGCUUGCAGUUGCUCAUCCGGGCUUUUGCCCGGUGCACUCUUCUGCAGGCAGGCCAGCAUCAGUUUGGGCGGUGGGAUAAAGGUCUCUGUCACGUACCUUCCUUCGGGUUGGCCUUAUAGGGGAGACGCCAUACCACCAGCCUGGACUGAGGUCCGCGCAUCUGCUAGGAUGCUGGCGUAAUGGCUGUAAGCGGCCCGUCUUGAAACACGGACCAAGGAGUCUAACAUCUAUGCGAGUGUUUGGGUGUCAAGCCCGAGCGCGUAAUGAAAGUGAACGGAGGUGGGAACCCGCAAGGGUGCACCAUCGACCGAUCCUGAAGUUUACGGAAGGAUUUGAGUAAGAGCAUGGCUGUUGGGACCCGAAAGAUGGUGAACUAUGCUUGAAUAGGGUGAAGCCAGAGGAAACUCUGGUGGAGGCUCGCAGCGGUUCUGACGUGCAAAUCGAUCGUCAAAUUUGGGCAUAGGGGCGAAAGACUAAUCGAACUAUCUAGUAGCUGGUUCCUGCCGAAGUU